CUCGGGGGUGCCCUGACCGUCACUUUCGCAUGUUGAAGAGCGGCGGCGGAACGGGCUGAGAUUAUACCCAUUGACCUGAUACAGUUAAUGCUGUCGUAGGAAAUGAGAAUAA
RNAcentral lists this non-coding RNA (112 nucleotides) under uncultured Prevotella sp. The record is from RNAcentral. Lineage: Bacteria; Pseudomonadati; Bacteroidota; Bacteroidia; Bacteroidales; Prevotellaceae.